Molecule: ribosomal RNA, 505 nt
Filed under: uncultured bacterium
Lineage: Bacteria
Description: partial 16S ribosomal RNA
Rfam family: Bacterial small subunit ribosomal RNA
Source: RNAcentral
GACGAACGCUGGCGGCGUGCCUAAUACAUGCAAGUCGAACGCACAGUUUAUACCGUAGCUUGCUACACCAUAAACUGUGACUUGCGAACGGGUGAGUAACGCGUAGGUAACCUGCCUGGUAGCGGGUGAUGACAAUUGGACACAAUACCUAAUACCGCAUAAUCUUGAUUAUUGCAUGAUAAUUGAUUGUAAUAUUCUAUUGCAUCACUAGCAGAUGGCUCUGCUUUGUAUUUGCUAGUAUGUGAGGUUACGGAUUACCUAAGCCACGAUACAUCGGCGACCUGAGAAGGUGAACGGCCAACCUUGGACUGAGACACCGCCCAGGAUCCUACGGGAGGCAGAAGUAGGGGAUUUUCGGGAAUGGACGAAAGUCUGGCCGGGCAACGCCGGGGGAGUGAAGAAAGUUUUCGGAUCGGAAAGCUCUUUUGUAAGGGAAGAAAGGGUGGUAGAGUGGAAAGUGCACACUUUGACGGUACCUUACCAGAAAGGGACGGCUAACUACGUG